Molecule: non-coding RNA, 77 nt
Organism: Nothobranchius furzeri (turquoise killifish)
Lineage: Eukaryota; Metazoa; Chordata; Actinopteri; Cyprinodontiformes; Nothobranchiidae
Source: the annotation of a RefSeq genome assembly
UCCCCGGCCUGAUGGUCUAGUGGCUAGGAUCCGACGCUUUCACCGUCGUGGCCCGGGUUCGAUUCCCGGUCAGGGAA